Molecule: ribosomal RNA, 500 nt
Filed under: embryophyte environmental sample
Lineage: Eukaryota; Viridiplantae; Streptophyta
Description: eukaryotic LSU rRNA
Rfam family: 5.8S ribosomal RNA (bases 72-227)
Source: RNAcentral
GCCAAGGAAUAGAAAAUGAAAAGGGCGUGCUUUUCUUUCGGAAUGCAUUGCCUUCUUUCAAGAAUCAAAAUGACUCUCGGCAACGGAUAUCUCGGCUCUCGCAUCGAUGAAGAACGCAGCAAAAUGCGAUACUUGGUGUGAAUUGCAGAAUCCCGUGAAUCAUCGAGUUUUUGAACGCAAGUUGCGCCCGAAGCCUUUCGGCCAAGGGCACGCCUGCCUGGGUGUCACGCAUACGUCGCCCCAUCCUCUCGACACCUCGGGAGUCAUGGGAGCAGAAGUUGGCCUCCUGUGUGCCUUGCGCAUGUGGUUGGCCCAAAAUGCAUGUUCGCGGCAAAUGAUAGCCAUGACGAUCGGUGGUUGUAAAGACCCUCUGAAAAAGUCGUGCGCUGUUCUUAGCCGUCGGGACAUUCCUUGACCCUAGGGCGUCCUCAGGGCGCGCUCCGACCGCGACCCCAGGUCAGGCGGGACUACCCGCUGAGUUUAAGCAUAUCAAUAAGCGG